UACGGAGGGUGCGAGCGUUGUCCGGAAUCAUUGGGCGUAAAGGGCGCGUAGGUGGCCUUCUAAGCGUGCGGUGAAAGCCUGGGGCUCAACCCCGGGUCGGCCGUGCGAACUGGGGGGCUUGAGCACUGUAGAGGCAGGCGGAAUUCCGGGUGUAGCGGUGGAAUGCGUAGAGAUCCGGAAGAACACCGGUGGCGAAGGCGGCCUGCUGGGCAGUUUUGCUGACACUGAGGCGCGACAGCGUGGGGAGCAAACAGG
This 255-nucleotide ribosomal RNA is filed under the name uncultured bacterium. RNAcentral describes it as "partial 16S ribosomal RNA". It matches the Rfam family "Bacterial small subunit ribosomal RNA", at positions 524 to 776 of the family's 1533-position model. The record is from RNAcentral.